ACGGGGAGCAGCAGGCGCGAAACCUUUACACUGCACGCCRGUGCGAUAAGGGGACCCCGAGUGCGAGGGCAUACAGUCCUCGCUUUUCGUGACCGUAAGGUGGUCACAGAAUAAGAGCUGGGCAAGACCGGUGCCAGCCGCCGCGGUAAUACCGGCAGCUCGAGUGAUAGCCACUUUUAUUGGGCCUAAAGCGUCCGUAGCCGGCCGAACAGGUCCGUCGGGAAAUCCACUCGCUCAACGAGUGGACGUCCGGCGGAAACCAGUCGGCUUGGGGCCGGGAGACCAGAGAGGUACGUCCGGGGUAGGAGUGAAAUCCUGUAAUCCUGGACGGACCGCCGGUAGCGAAAGCGUCUCUGGAGAACGGACCCGACGGUGAGGGACGAAAGCUUGGGUCUCGAACCGGAUUAGAUACCCGGGUAGUCCAAGCCGUAAACGAUGCUCGCUAGGUGUGGCGUUGGCUACGAGCCAGCGCUGUGCCGUAGGGAAGCCGAGAAGCGAGCCGCCUGGGAAGUACGUCCGCAAGGAUGAAACUUAAAGGAAUUGGCGGGGGAGCAC
Molecule: ribosomal RNA, 555 nt
Filed under: uncultured Halococcus sp.
Lineage: Archaea; Methanobacteriati; Methanobacteriota; Halobacteria; Halobacteriales; Halococcaceae
Description: bacterial SSU rRNA
Rfam family: Archaeal small subunit ribosomal RNA
Source: RNAcentral